Vespa mandarinia (Asian giant hornet) is the source of this 233-nucleotide long non-coding RNA. Lineage: Eukaryota; Metazoa; Arthropoda; Insecta; Hymenoptera; Vespidae. The record is from RefSeq and is a predicted model, not a curated record.
GAUUUAUUAGAAAAAUAUCAUUGACGAGAGAAAGCUUUAGUAACAUAUUUAUAUUAUGCUUUUAGGUAUUUUUCUAAAACGACAUUAUUCAUGUGCGAGAUAUCAAAGUAAACUCAAAUUCUGUUUUAUAUCAUCGUUUUUCAACAUCUAAGUAACAGCUUAGGAAGAAAAAAAAAUGAGAGAAAAAAAAAUAUGCAAGAGGAAUCUCAGGCGAGUAUAAAAAGCAAAUAAAA